This 858-nucleotide ribosomal RNA is filed under the name uncultured bacterium. RNAcentral's name for it is "bacterial SSU rRNA". It matches the Rfam family "Bacterial small subunit ribosomal RNA", at positions 30 to 862 of the family's 1533-position model. The record is from RNAcentral.
UGAACGCUGGCGGCGUGCUUAACACAUGCAAGUCGAACGAGAAAGGGACUUCGGUCCUGAGUAGAGUGGCGCACGGGUGAGUAACGCGUAGGUAAUCUACCUCUGCAUCUGGGAUAACACUUCGAAAGGGGUGCUAAUACCGGAUACACUUAUGUGUCGCAAGACGUAUAAGGAAAGGAGACCUCUCCUUGGAAGUUUCUGUGUAGAGAUGAGCCUGCGUCCCAUUAGCUAGUUGGCAGGGUAAUGGCCUACCAAGGCGACGAUGGGUAGCGGGUCUGAGAGGAUGAUCCGCCACACUGGAACUGAAACACGGACCAGACUCCUACGGGAGGCAGCAGUGAGGAAUAUUGGACAAUGGGCGCAAGCCUGAUCCAGCGACGCCGCGUGAGUGAUGAAGGCCUUUGGGUCGUAAAGCUCUGUCAGCAGGGAAGAACGGCCGUGUGGUUAAUACCCAUGCGGAUUGACGGUACCUGCAGAGGAAGCACCGGCUAACUCCGUGCCAGCAGCCGCGGUAAUACGGAGGGUGCGAGCGUUAAUCGGAAUUACUGGGCGUAAAGGGCGCGUAGGCGGCUGAUCAAGUCAGAUGUGAAAGCCCACGGCUUAACCGUGUGAAGUGCAUCUGAAACUGGUCGGCUUGAGUAUCGGAGAGGAAAGUGGAAUUCCCGGUGUAGAGGUGAAAUUCGUAGAUAUCGGGAGGAAUACCGGUGGCGAAGGCGACUUUCUGGACGAAUACUGACGCUGAGGCGCGAAAGCGUGGGGAGCAAACAGGAUUAGAUACCCUGGUAGUCCACAGCUGUAAACGAUGUGCACUAGAUGUGGGGAAGUGUUGACCUUUCCUGUGUCGCAGCUAACGCAUAA